RNAcentral lists this ribosomal RNA (440 nucleotides) under uncultured bacterium. Its description in RNAcentral is "partial 16S ribosomal RNA". It matches the Rfam family "Bacterial small subunit ribosomal RNA", at positions 338 to 795 of the family's 1533-position model. The record is from RNAcentral.
CCUACGGGUGGCAGCAGUGGGGAAUAUUGCACAAUGGGGGAAACCCUGAUGCAGCGACGCCGCGUGAAGGAAGAAGUAUUUCGGUAUGUAAACUUCUAUCAGCAGGGAAGAAAAUGACGGUACCUGACUAAGAAGCCCCGGCUAACUACGUGCCAGCAGCCGCGGUAAUACGUAGGGGGCAAGCGUUAUCCGGAUUUACUGGGUGUAAAGGGAGCGUAGGCGGUGCAGCAAGUCAGAAGUGAAAGCCCGGGGCUCAACUCCGGGACUGCUUUUGAAACUGUUGAACUAGAGUGCAGGAGAGGUAAGUGGAAUUCCUAGUGUAGCGGUGAAAUGCGUAGAUAUUAGGAGGAACACCAGUGGCGAAGGCGGCUUACUGGACUGUAAAUGACGCUGAGGCUUGAAAGCGUGGGGAGCAAACAGGAUUAGAUACCCUGGUAGUC